CAAUCUCUGACCAGCCGCGAUGCAAGGGAAGCCGAUGGGAUUUCGGCGCGGGGCCGCCACUGUGAUCCGGACCAAGCCGCAUUGGAGCCACUGGGUUGUCCCGGGAAGGCGCGGCGGGGGAUGAUGGUAAGCCAGGAGACCUAUCGCGGCGGUGGUAGCUGG
RNAcentral lists this non-coding RNA (162 nucleotides) under Thermanaerovibrio acidaminovorans. Lineage: Bacteria; Thermotogati; Synergistota; Synergistia; Synergistales; Synergistaceae. RNAcentral also lists the same sequence under 1 other name. The record is from RNAcentral.